ACGUAGGGGGCGAGCGUUGUCCGGAAUUACUGGGCGUAAGGAGCACGUAGGUGGACCAUUAAGUCAGGUGUGAAAGACCGGGGCUCAACUCCGGGGUUGCACUUGAAACUGGUGGUCUUGAGGGCAGGAGAGGAAAGUAGAAUUCCUGGUGUAGCGGUGAAAUGCGUAGAAAUCAGGAGGAAUACCAGUGGCGAAGGCGGCUUUCUGGACUGUCCCUGACACUGAGGUGCGAAAGCGUGGGGAGCAAACAG
Molecule: ribosomal RNA, 251 nt
Filed under: uncultured prokaryote
Description: partial 16S rRNA
Rfam family: Bacterial small subunit ribosomal RNA
Source: RNAcentral